RNAcentral lists this ribosomal RNA (440 nucleotides) under uncultured bacterium. RNAcentral describes it as "partial 16S ribosomal RNA". It matches the Rfam family "Bacterial small subunit ribosomal RNA", at positions 28 to 507 of the family's 1533-position model. The record is from RNAcentral.
GAUGAACGCUGGCGGCAUGCUUUACACAUGCAAGUCGGACGGGAAGUGGUGUUUUCAGUGGCGGACGGGUGAGUAACGCGUAAGAAUCUGCCGUUGGGAGGGGAACAACAGCUGGAAACGGCUGUUAAUACCCUGUAGGCAGAGGCGCGUAAGGAGGCAUGCGCCCAGGGAGGGGCUGGCGGCGUAUGAGUGAGUGGGUGGGGUAGUAGCUUACUAAGGCCGUGAUGGGUAGCUGGUCUGAGAGGAGGAUCGGCCACACUGGGACGGAGACGAGGCGCAGACGACUCCGGGAGGAAGCAGUGGUGGAGAAUGUUCCAUAGGCGGAGAAAGGCUGCCGGAACAAUGCCUGGGGGAGGUAGAAGUUCUACGUGUCAUGAGCUUCUUCUCCUGACGAAGAAAGAAUGACGGUAACUGGUAAAUAAGCACCGGCUAACUCUGUG